CCCCGUCCUCCUCAGCACACCGUCCCACGCUGUCACCGCAGGCUCUCAGCUGCCGCUGCACACGGCCCCUUCACAUUGGAGUGUGGUGUUCAGCAGGGCACCGUUGUGUUCAGAGCUUCACAUUAGAGUGUGGUGUUCAGAGUGUGGUGUUCAGAGUGUGGUGUUCAGAGUGUGGUGUUCAGAGUGUGGUGUUCAGAGUGUGGUGUUCAGAGUGGCACCGUUGUGUUCAGAGUGUGGUGUUCAGAGUGUGGUGUUCAGAGUGUGGUGUUCAGCAGGGCACCGUUGUGUUCAGAGCUGCAGCUCCACGUUUGUUCAGUGGCCCAUCACGACAGUGAGCAUUUUCAGCAUCACACACAGCCCAACAUUUGCUUUACACACAGUUCCUUCCUUACUCACCUUAACACGUAAUCCAGUCCACACUACAGUGUGCAGACUACACUGGAUCCAGCCCAACACUUCACUGUGCAGGUUAGACCACAGCUAACCCAA
Clupea harengus (Atlantic herring) is the source of this 489-nucleotide long non-coding RNA. The record is from Ensembl. NCBI's taxonomy places the organism in Eukaryota, Metazoa, Chordata, Actinopteri, Clupeiformes, Clupeidae.